Molecule: ribosomal RNA, 944 nt
Filed under: uncultured organism
Description: bacterial SSU rRNA
Rfam family: Bacterial small subunit ribosomal RNA
Source: RNAcentral
UUGACGGUACCCUACUAGAAAGGAGCCGCUAACUUCGUGCCAGAAGCGUCGGUAAUACGGGGGCUCCAAGCGUUAUCCGGUGUUAUUGGGCGUAAAGAGUCGUGUAGGUGGUUGGGUAAGUUAUCUUUCAAAUAUCUUUGCUUAACAAAGAGGAGGGGGAUAAUACUGCUCGACUAGAAUUUUCUCAAGGGAGAUCGGAACUGAGGGAGGAGUAGUGAAAUGCGUUGAUACCCUCGGGAACACCAGUGGCGUAGGCGGAUCUCUGGGACAAGAUUGACACUGAGACACGAAAAGCUAGGGGAGCGAAGCCGAUUAGAGACCUGCGUAGUCCUAGCCGUAAACGCAUGCUUGCUAAGCUGCAUGAAUCUACCUUCGGGUGGAAUCGGGUGCCGAAGGUAACCCGUUAAGCAAGCCGCCUGGAAAGUACGGGCCGAAAGGCUGAAAUUCAAAGGAAUUGUCGGGGAGGCACACAACCAGUGGAACAUGUGGUGUAAUUCGAGACUAACCGAAGAACCUCACCAGGGUUUGACAUGUAGCUGCACGUCUUAAGAAAUUAAGACUCUCUUGAAGGUGCUACACAGGUGCUGCAUGGCUGUCGUCAGCUCGUUCCGUGAGGAGUGCCCUUAAGUGGGACAACGAGCGCAACCCCUAUUACAUGUUAGAAAUGUCGUGUAAGACUGCCUUGCCAUUUGGCGGGGAGGAAGGAGGGGCAGACGUCAAGUCCGCAUGGUCCUUAUGCCCUGGGCUACACACAUGUUACAAUGAGUACGGCAAUGAGUCUGUCGCGAGCACGUAAGUGUAAGCUAAUCUCUUAAAUGUACUCUCAGUGGGGAUCGAGGUCUGCAACUCGACCUCAUGAACACGGAAUUGGUAGUAAUCGCGGAUCAGCUAUACCGCGGUGAUACGUUCUUGCCUCUUGCACACACCGCCCGUCAAACCAGCAA